Gallus gallus (chicken) is the source of this 393-nucleotide long non-coding RNA. The record is from Ensembl. NCBI's taxonomy places the organism in Eukaryota, Metazoa, Chordata, Aves, Galliformes, Phasianidae.
GGUCAAGUCAAGGAGUCAGUCCACAGGCUGAAGGCUCUAUCAAAGGGCUGUAUAGACAUUCAGGGCCAAGGCAAUUCUCCAGCAUGCUUCAGGAAAGGCAUGAAGCUCAGGCUGACCUUAGAGGUCCUGGAUGCAUGGAUGUAGAUGGAGGCUCCAGAGAUGAGUGCCACAGAAGAUGAGUAUUGUCGUUCAAGGAAGAGAAGGAAACAAGCUGUGGACAGAGGUCUGUGCACAGGAAAACAUCUUCUAGAGUUGGUAAAGAAUUCUGCACUGUAAUGCAAUUUUAUGAUGACCACAAGCGUCAUGGAAACAUUUCUGUUUCAGAAGGCUUUCACCAGCUCAUCUCUCUGUUGGGAGCUCCACUCAGUGAGGCUUCUAGCCCCAGAGCUCCAC